GACGAACGCUGGCGGCGUGCUUAACACAUGCAAGUCGAACGGAAAGGCCCUGCUUGCAGGGUACUCGAGUGGCGAACGGGUGAGUAACACGUGGGUGAUCUGCCCUGCACUUCGGGAUAAGCCUGGGAAACUGGGUCUAAUACCGGAUAGGAGCCAUUUUUAGUGUGAUGGUUGGAAAGUUUUUUCGGUGUAGGAUGAGCUCGCGGCCUAUCAGCUUGUUGGUGGGGUAAUGGCCUACCAAGGCGGCGACGGGUAGCCGGCCUGAGAGGGUGGACGGCCACAUUGGGACUGAGAUACGGCCCAGACUCCUACGGGAGGCAGCAGUGGGGAAUAUUGCACAAUGGGCGCAAGCCUGAUGCAGCGACGCCGCGUGGGGGAUGACGGCCUUCGGGUUGUAAACUCCUUACGCUAGGGACGUAGCUUUUUGUGACGGUACCUAGAUAAGAAGCACCGGCUAACUACGUGCCAGCCGCCGCGGUAA
This 481-nucleotide ribosomal RNA is filed under the name uncultured Actinomycetales bacterium. RNAcentral describes it as "bacterial SSU rRNA". It matches the Rfam family "Bacterial small subunit ribosomal RNA", at positions 28 to 523 of the family's 1533-position model. The record is from RNAcentral. Lineage: Bacteria; Bacillati; Actinomycetota; Actinomycetes; Actinomycetales.